GGCCGACUAGCUCAGUUGGUUAGAGCGUCGUGCUAAUAUGGGACCGUUCCGCCGCCUUGUAUUCACGCGAAGGUCUUGGGUUCGAUCCCCACGUUGGCCA
Marasmius tenuissimus is the source of this 100-nucleotide non-coding RNA. The record is from the annotation of a GenBank genome assembly. NCBI's taxonomy places the organism in Eukaryota, Fungi, Basidiomycota, Agaricomycetes, Agaricales, Marasmiaceae.